UACGUAGGGUGCGAGCGUUAAUCGGAAUUACUGGGCGUAAAGCGUGCGCAGGCGGUCUGUUAAGUCCGAUGUGAAAUCCCCGGGCUUAACCUGGGAACUGCAUUGGUGACUGGCAGGCUUUGAGUGUGGCAGAGGGAGGUAGAAUUCCACGUGUAGCAGUGAAAUGCGUAGAGAUGUGGAGGAAUACCGAUGGCGAAGGCAGCCUCCUGGGCCAACACUGACGCUCAUGCACGAAAGCGUGGGGAGCAAACAGG
RNAcentral lists this ribosomal RNA (254 nucleotides) under uncultured bacterium. RNAcentral's name for it is "partial 16S ribosomal RNA". It matches the Rfam family "Bacterial small subunit ribosomal RNA", at positions 524 to 776 of the family's 1533-position model. The record is from RNAcentral.